UGUGGUUUCUGGUUUUCCGUGAAGAUGGAAAGUUUUGUCAUUUUAACCUCCCUUCCUUUUCCUUCAAUUUCAAUUUAUCCUCCUUCCCUUCCUGUUCAUGCUAGUAAUUACUUGCAAAGGAGAAGAAGCCGGAUCGAAGCUCUGUUUUUCAUCUGUCUGUAAGCUUCCUGGUGCAUUGACAUGGAUUGUUUGAGCUCCUAAAUGAAAUAGAUGGAGUUCUACAAAUGAUGCAAGCUUAGCUCCAGGGCGUUUUUACUUUCAAACAUGAGCACACAAAAUAAAAGAAGAGGAUGGAUUAAUUAUUGGAAUUCCCAGAAACCUGAGGCAGACAUGUCGCAAACAAGCAAAUGGACCCAUCACUGAGCUUGAAAAUAUCACAAGCUUGAUGACCCCGUCAAAUGAUUGUAACCCAGCAGUUCAGAGGACAUCAACUACCAACACGUGUGACUGUGAGUGUUCCCCUGCAUCAGUAUCCUUGAGCUUUUUUUAGGCUUUAGAAGUGGUCUCCUUCUUCCUCUUCCAUUGAUUUUUGGUUUCAAAUUAGAUGAAAGCUGUG
Molecule: long non-coding RNA, 556 nt
Filed under: Populus trichocarpa (black cottonwood)
Lineage: Eukaryota; Viridiplantae; Streptophyta; Magnoliopsida; Malpighiales; Salicaceae
Description: long non-coding RNA (PTRI_LNC002603)
Source: RNAcentral